GUUGGGGCUGUUUGUGUUUGUAUUCUGUGCUCAAUCCAUUAACAUCUGAUCUCUGCACUUGCCAUCAUUACACGAAACUAACUGUAGCUUUUUUCUCUUUACCUGUAGAAACCUCUCCGCCAUGAGAGCUAAGUGGAGGAAGAAGCGAAUGCGCAGGCUGAAGCGUAAAAGAAGAAAGAUGAGGCAGAGGUCCAAGUAAACCGCUAGCUUGUGCACCCAUGGAGCCACAGGAGCAGAAAUAAGGAAAGCCAGAGGCCAGGGACGCUGGUACCAAUUGUUGGACUGCAUGCCUACUUUCUAGAGCUUGAUUCAGUGGAUCUAGAACAUCCAUCGCCAUCUGAUCGCAACGACCACCUUUGAGAGACUCGCCUUGUUCA
Molecule: long non-coding RNA, 377 nt
Organism: Neofelis nebulosa (Clouded leopard)
Lineage: Eukaryota; Metazoa; Chordata; Mammalia; Carnivora; Felidae
Exons: 3
Source: RefSeq, a predicted model, not a curated record